CUUGUUUACACAUUCUGAACAGCUGCAUGUUGUCUUGGGGAUAUUUUCAACGAGUCUUUCUAUACAACCUCCGCACACCAAGUGACGUGGAUUUUGUUUUAUUUUAUUUUAAUGAAACGUUAAAAAUUUAAAUCAACAAUCAUGGCAUUUCCCCGCAUCCCUACGUUCCCCCCUCGUUUCCCCUCCCUUGCGUGCCCCCUCCCCUCGAGGUCACCCCUCCAUGGUUCCACCCAGCGUGGGAUUUUCUCCCACCCAGCUCGGAUCCCUUCUGUAAGGCGCAUGAGCCAAAGCUCUCCAUAAAUCCAUCUCUCUCCACAAAUCCUCACACAACACGCGUUCUCUUCUCACCACACUGACAAAUCUCUUCCGCACGGCUUCGUCAACAAUAAUUCCUCUUCUCACCACUCGUCUUGGGCUGCCGACUUUGGUUCUGGUUUGAGGUGGGUUUUGAUUGCUAGUGUUUUUUGGUGGUGAUUGAUGUUAUUGUGGUUGGGGGAUUGUGCUAUAAAAGCUUGGAGUGGUGGUGAUUGGUGGAAUGGGAUGCCUUUGAAAUAUUGGAUUGCAGAUGGUGUUUUGUUGUGGAAAAAUGGAAGGAAAUGAAGAAGAAAGAAGGAGAAGCUAAGGGGACAGGAUGUUGGGUUAAGUUUAGGUUCAUUGGAAGCUGCAUCUCCUCAAGUUCCAAUGUGGAUAACUCUCUAAGUGGUACUAGCACGCAAUAUGAUAUAAACCACAUAAUAGGAGUGUAGAGGAUUGAUGUUUUUAGCAUACAAGAACGAAGAUUGGGCGUGUAUUUUGUAUUGUUUGUGAAAUUAGCUGACUUGGUGUUGCUUGUCUAUGCGCAUGACUUGUGUUUAUUUUUUAAUGUAAUUUCAGUAUUGGAUUUGUACAUGUGAUUAACCAGAUAUUAGAAUGGAAGUGUAAUAUUUUCUUCAAGUGUAAUAUUUUCAAGAAGUGUAAUAUGAUAUGUAGAGGGGGUAAUAUCUUUUUGAAGUGUAAAGGGGGCAAAACCCGUUUGUUGUUUCCAAUUAUAUAUUAAGAGUUUAUUAAUAUUAUUGGGAGCAAAUGGCUAGCUUCUAAUAAUUCAAUUUGUUCUUUAUUGGCGUUUCAAAAAGAGUACCCUCUACCGAUCCAAACAAAAAAUAGAAGUGAUCUUAGAUGCUCUUAUCUCAGACACCUUUACUAACUUGGCAAAUCAAUCUCUGCCCAAGGUAAAAAAGCAAUCACAUGCACCUAUAUAUAUGCAUAUAAACUAGUGCAGUUCAUUCCAAGUCCAAACCUAUAUAUAUUCAUAGUAAUGCAAGUUAAGAAACAGGGUCACUUUUAUCAUAGUAAGUUGUCAUGAUUAUAUUUAUAGACAAUAUAGCAUACAAUUAUGGUUCGAACAAUCUACACACGAUUUAAAACUAACAUGUUACAACUAUAGUCCGAACCAAUAAAAAACUAUUACAAUAGAUAUGAUCCAUUACAGACAUAGCAAUAUAUGUGCACCCCUAUUCUUUACAAUCCGCUUUCGAAGUUUGUCCUCUUGCUUCUGAAGCUCAUUUUCUCUCUUGAUUAGUUUAUCUUUUUUUGAUCUUCAUAUUCAUGUAACAAUAAAUCAUCAUCUCUCUUUCGAAUUGCAUUCUCCAUUGUCAGAAUCUUUUUCUCUACCAAUUGAAGUAUAUCGGCCUAGAUGAAGGAUUAAAUCGGAUGUAUUAAAUCGGAUGAAGAAUUGAAGUAUAUCGGCCUAGAUGACUACUUCGUACAUGGAUUCAAAAGCAAUAAAGAAAGUGGGUAAUUACCGUAGAUACCACAAUCACAAAAUCUACCACACCCAAUAUACCACAAUCACAAACCAACAAAUCGGUUAUUACUAGAAAUCACAAAUCAACAAAUCAGUUCUACCAUAGUGGAAACCUGUCAAGCAUCAUUGAACAUAACUAGAAGAGAGGAGGAAAAAAAGAAAGAAUGAAUAUUAAAAAUCAACAAAGUUUUACUUAUCAUAUUUAAUUUUCCCAUAUCAAUCAGCUGGGACUUGAACAAUAUCACAACUCCCCAAAAAAACCAAAAACAGAGGAAUUUAAUAAAAGAAUUUCAAAACCUCAUCAUCAUAUUUUGAAAUGAUAGAAAGAAAUAAUCCUAGAAAUUAUAUAAAUACUAAUGAAAACACCAUAACCAGAAGAAACAAAACACAACUGUAAUCAUAAUCAUCCUCUUGUUAGCAAUCCAAUAGGGAAGUCAUAUUAUAUUUUUUUCCAAUUUUUUCACAUAAGUAUCACUUCAUUUAGAAAAUGUAUAUAAUAAAGCCAGAAGUAUGUCAUUCACAUUUUACAUCCCAAUCUUCGAAAUAUUAGAAAAAUGAUUCUCCAACUGGCUGGGCUGCCGAUAUGUUGUCUUGUAGCUCAAUGAAGCAGUAUAUCAGAGGUGGCUUUGGACUAUCAUAAAGAUUCGUUUCUUAGAUUUCAGAUCUCCAUGACAAGUAUCAAAAUGGUUGGCAUGACUUUAUAUAGUGAAUUAGUAAACUAGACAACAAUUAUCAUAAUAAAUUUAAUGAAGCAAAAGAUGUAAGCCAUUCCAUUGGAUGCCGCAAUGGCUCAUGAUACCUAAGAUAUAUAUGGAAGGCCAAUAAGAAAUUAUUGCUGAUUAAUUUUUGGGAUCCAUUAAUAAUGGAGUAACGUAAAUUGAGUCAUUUGGGUUUGAAAAAAAUAAUCUGAUGAGAGCAAAUUCUAUAAUAUUAUGUCCAUAGAAUCCAAAUCCAGCCCUUGCAAGGAUCAUGCAGCGGUAUCCAACAAUAUAAAGAACGAAAUAAGUAUCAAACAAAUGGAAGAGAACCACCCUUUGACGAGAUGUCGACCAAAAGGUAACAAGUUAAACAUAAAGGUUGCAAAUUUAUCCUUUUGUUUAUAACUAGAGACUCAAGCCAAUAUAUCAGCACCAAAAAAUUAGCAUUUCCUGCAUCAAUCAACAAGGAACCUGAAAACAUCCACAACAAAACACCUCCCCCCUUCUUCACAGACCAAACUUACUAAUAGGAGUGCAAUGAAAAGAAUAUAAACGAACCCAGCUAUUAAUUUAUGAUUUGCUGAUAAAAACUAUUAGAAAACCGGCUUAUGCUCAUAUGAACUUCUAACAAGCAGCAGACUACAAGUAUGCAACAACACGAUGACCACGAUAAAGUGGAAUCCAUUUAAAUAACCACGAGAGAAGUAAUAAGCAAAAAAGUAGUAAUAAAUUAAACACAAGAAAGAAAAAAAGAAAAAAA
Long non-coding RNA from Carya illinoinensis, 3241 nucleotides. RefSeq lists it as uncharacterized. NCBI's taxonomy places the organism in Eukaryota, Viridiplantae, Streptophyta, Magnoliopsida, Fagales, Juglandaceae. The record is from RefSeq and is a predicted model, not a curated record. The transcript is spliced from 3 exons.